UCGGAAUUGUAGUUUAGUUAAAAUAUUAGCAUUGGAAGUUAAAGAUUGGGUUUAUUAAUCCCACUUUCCGAA
RNAcentral lists this transfer RNA (72 nucleotides) under Glaphyrina caudata. RNAcentral's name for it is "tRNA-Pro". The record is from RNAcentral. Lineage: Eukaryota; Metazoa; Mollusca; Gastropoda; Neogastropoda; Fasciolariidae.